UGGGGAAUAUUGGACAAUGGGGGAAACCCUGAUCCAGCAAUUCCGCGUGUGUGAAGAAGGCCUUCGGGUUGUAAAGCACUUUGGACGGGGAAGAAGGCAGGCUGUUUAAGAGAUGGUUUGCUUGACGGUACCCGUAGAACAAGCACCGGCUAACUCUGUGCCAGCAGCCGCGGUAAUACAGAGGGUGCGAGCGUUAAUCGGAAUUACUGGGCGUAAAGGGCGCGUAGGCGGUCUUGCAAGUGAGAUGUGAAAUCCCCGGGCUUAACCUGGGAACUGCAUCUUAAACUGUGAGGCUGGAGUACUGUAGAGGACAGUGGAAUUUCCGGUGUAGCGGUGAAAUGCGUAGAGAUCGGAAGGAACAUCAGUGGCGAAGGCGACUGUCUGGACAGAUACUGACGCUGAGGCGCGAAAGCGUGGGGAGCAAACAGGAUUAGAUACCCCCGUAGUCC
This 449-nucleotide ribosomal RNA is filed under the name uncultured bacterium. RNAcentral describes it as "bacterial SSU rRNA". It matches the Rfam family "Bacterial small subunit ribosomal RNA", at positions 355 to 796 of the family's 1533-position model. The record is from RNAcentral.